UGGAUCCAGACUUUGAUCAUGGCUCAGGAUGAACGCUAGCUACAGGCUUAACACAUGCAAGUCGAGGGGAAACGACAUCGAAAGCUUGCUUUUGAUGGGCGUCGACCGGCGCACGGGUGAGUAACGCGUAUCCAACCUGCCCACCACUUGGGGAUAACCCUGCGAAAGUAAGACUAAUACCCAAUGACGUCUCUAGAAGACAUCUGAAGGAGAUUAAAGAUUUAUCGGUGAUGGAUGGGGAUGCGUCUGAUUAGCUUGUUGGCGGGGUAACGGCCCACCAAGGCAACGAUCAGUAGGGGUUCUGAGAGGAAGGUCCCCCACAUUGGAACUGAGACACGGUCCAAACUCCUACGGGAGGCAGCAGUGAGGAAUAUUGGUCAAUGGACGAGAGUCUGAACCAGCCAAGUAGCGUGCAGGAUGACGGCCCUAUGGGUUGUAAACUGCUUUUAUAAGGGAAUAAAGUGAGUCUCGUGAGACUUUUUGCAUGUACCUUAUGAAUAAGGACCGGCUAAUUCCGUGCCAGCAGCCGCGGUAAUACGGAAGGUCCGGGCGUUAUCCGGAUUUAUUGGGUUUAAAGGGAGCGUAGGCCGGAGAUUAAGCGUGUUGUGAAAUGUAGAUGCUCAACAUCUGCACUGCAGCGCGAACUGGUUUCCUUGAGUACGCACAAAGUGGGCGGAAUUCGUGGUGUAGCGGUGAAAUGCUUAGAUAUCACGAAGAACUCCGAUUGCGAAGGCAGCUCACUGGAGCGCAAUUGACGCUGAAGCUCGAAAGUGCGGGUAUCGAACAGGAUUAGAUACCCUGGUAGUCCGCACGGUAAACGAUGGAUGCCCGCUGUUGGUCUGAAUAGGUCAGCGGCCAAGCGAAAGCAUUAAGCAUCCCACCUGGGGAGUACGCCGGCAACGGUGCAACUCAAAUGAAUUGACGGA
RNAcentral lists this ribosomal RNA (926 nucleotides) under uncultured Bacteroidota bacterium. RNAcentral describes it as "bacterial SSU rRNA". It matches the Rfam family "Bacterial small subunit ribosomal RNA", at positions 1 to 917 of the family's 1533-position model. The record is from RNAcentral. Lineage: Bacteria; Pseudomonadati; Bacteroidota.